RNAcentral lists this ribosomal RNA (562 nucleotides) under Acinetobacter sp. CSeB0_52. RNAcentral describes it as "bacterial SSU rRNA". It matches the Rfam family "Bacterial small subunit ribosomal RNA", at positions 75 to 632 of the family's 1533-position model. The record is from RNAcentral. Lineage: Bacteria; Pseudomonadati; Pseudomonadota; Gammaproteobacteria; Moraxellales; Moraxellaceae.
GUAGCUUGCUACUUAACCUAGCGGCGGACGGGUGAGUAAUGCUUAGGAAUCUGCCUAUUAGUGGGGGACAACAUCUCGAAAGGGAUGCUAAUACCGCAUACGUCCUACGGGAGAAAGCAGGGGACCUUCGGGCCUUGCGCUAAUAGAUGAGCCUAAGUCGGAUUAGCUAGUUGGUGGGGUAAAGGCCUACCAAGGCGACGAUCUGUAGCGGGUCUGAGAGGAUGAUCCGCCACACUGGGACUGAGACACGGCCCAGACUCCUACGGGAGGCAGCAGUGGGGAAUAUUGGACAAUGGGGGGAACCCUGAUCCAGCCAUGCCGCGUGUGUGAAGAAGGCCUUUUGGUUGUAAAGCACUUUAAGCGAGGAGGAGGCUACCGAGAUUAAUACUCUUGGAUAGUGGACGUUACUCGCAGAAUAAGCACCGGCUAACUCUGUGCCAGCAGCCGCGGUAAUACAGAGGGUGCAAGCGUUAAUCGGAUUUACUGGGCGUAAAGCGCGCGUAGGUGGCCAAUUAAGUCAAAUGUGAAAUCCCCGAGCUUAACUUGCGAAUUGCAUUCGAUA